AAGCUCAUAACUUAAUGGUUAGAAUGUUUUCUUGAUGAGAAAAUUGUUAGUGGUUCAAGUCCACUUGAGCUUA
Molecule: non-coding RNA, 73 nt
Organism: Hydnum rufescens UP504
Lineage: Eukaryota; Fungi; Basidiomycota; Agaricomycetes; Cantharellales; Hydnaceae
Source: the annotation of a GenBank genome assembly